This 1327-nucleotide long non-coding RNA is filed under the name Serinus canaria (Common canary). Its description in RNAcentral is "lncRNA (ENSSCAG00000001736.1)". Lineage: Eukaryota; Metazoa; Chordata; Aves; Passeriformes; Fringillidae. The record is from RNAcentral.
UUGGAAAAAUGGAGGUUGGAAGAAAAUGGAGAUUUUGGGGUUUUACCUCUAAAAAAAAUGGAGGUUGUGGGAUUUGCUUGGAAAAAAAAAUGGAGGUUGGACAAAAAAUGGAGGUUUUGGGGUUUUUCCUUGGAAAAAUGGAGGUUGGAAGAAAAUGGAGGUUGGACAAAAAAUGGAGGUUGGACAAAAAAUGGAGGUUCUGGGGUUUUCCUUGGAAAAAUGGAGGUUGGAAGAAAUGGAGGUUGGGAAAAAAAAUGGAGGUUUUGGGGUUUUUUUUUGGAAAAAAUGGAGGUUAGAAAAAAUAGAGGUUUUGGGAAUUUUCCUAGGAAAAAAAAUGGAGGUUUUGGGGUUUGCUUGGAAAAAAAAAAUGGAGGUUUUCCUUGGAAAAAUGGAGGUUGGAAAAAAUGGAGAUUGGAAGAAAUUGAGGCUGGAAAAAAAUGGAGGUUUGGGGGGUUUUCCUUGGAAAAAUUGGAGGUUUUGGGGGUUAUUUUGAAAAAUGGAGGUUUUGGGGUUUUUCCUUGGAAAAAAAGGGAGGUUGGAAAAAAAUGGAGAAUUUGGGACUUUCCUUGGAAAAAAUGGAGGUUGGACAAAAAAUGGAGGGUUUGGGGGUUUCCUUGGAGAAAAAUGGAGGUUGGAAAAAAUGGAGGGUUUGGGGUUCACCUCAAAAAAAAAAAAAUGGAGGUUUUGGGGUUUGCUUGGAAAAAAAUGGAGGUUUUGGGGGUUUAACUAAAAAAAAAAUGGAGGUUUUGGGGUUUUUCUUGGAAAAAAUGGAGCUUUUGUGGUUUUCCCUUGGAAAAAUGGAGGUUUUGUGGUUUUCCCUUGGAAAAUUGAAGGGUUUGGGGUUUUCCUUGGAAAAAUGGAGGUUUUGGGGUUUUCCUUGGAAAAAUGGAGGUUUUGGAGUUUUCCUUGAAAAAAAAUGGAGGUUUUGGGGUUUUUCUUGGAGAAAAUUGAGGUUUUGAGGUUUUCCUUGGAAAAAAUGGAGGUUUUGGGGUCUCCUUGGGAAAAAAUGGAGGUUGGAAAAAAAAAGGAGGUUUUGGGGUUUUCCUUGGAAAAAGUUGGAGGUUUUGGUGAUUCCCAAGGAAAAAAUGGAAGUUUUGGGAUUUCCUUGGAAAAAAAUGGAGGUUUUGUGGUUUUCCCUUGGAAAACUGGAGGUUUUGGAGUUUUCCUUGGAAAAAUGGAGAUUUUGGGGUUUUCCUUGGAAAAAAUGGAGGUUUUGGGGAUUCCCAAGGAAAAAAUGGAGGUUUUGGGUUUUUCCUUGGAAAACUGGAGGUUUUGUGGGAAGGGUGUGGAUCCGUCGGGAUCCACCCUGGAAUGGCCGCGGGACGGG